AGCGAAUGGAUUAAGAGCUUGCUCUUAUGAAGUUAGCGGCGGACGGGUGAGUAACACGUGGGUAACCUGCCCAUAAGACUGGGAUAACUCCGGGAAACCGGGGCUAAUACCGGAUAACAUUUUGAACCGCAUGGUUCGAAAUUGAAAGGCGGCUUCGGCUGUCACUUAUGGAUGGACCCGCGUCGCAUUAGCUAGUUGGUGAGGUAACGGCUCACCAAGGCAACGAUGCGUAGCCGACCUGAGAGGGUGAUCGGCCACACUGGGACUGAGACACGGCCCAGACUCCUACGGGAGGCAGCAGUAGGGAAUCUUCCGCAAUGGACGAAAGUCUGACGGAGCAACGCCGCGUGAGUGAUGAAGGCUUUCGGGUCGUAAAACUCUGUUGUUAGGGAAGAACAAGUGCUAGUUGAAUAAGCUGGCACCUUGACGGUACCUAACCAGAAAGCCACGGCUAACUACGUGCCAGCAGCCGCGGUAAUACGUAGGUGGCAAGCGUUAUCCGGAAUUAUUGGGCGUAAAGCGCGCGCAGGUGGUUUCUUAAGUCUGAUGUGAAAGCCCACGGCUCAACCGUGGAGGGUCAUUGGAAACUGGGAGACUUGAGUGCAGAAGAGGAAAGUGGAAUUCCAUGUGUAGCGGUGAA
RNAcentral lists this ribosomal RNA (640 nucleotides) under Bacillus sp. (in: firmicutes). RNAcentral's name for it is "bacterial SSU rRNA". It matches the Rfam family "Bacterial small subunit ribosomal RNA", at positions 65 to 685 of the family's 1533-position model. The record is from RNAcentral. Lineage: Bacteria; Bacillati; Bacillota; Bacilli; Caryophanales; Bacillaceae.